UGCGUAGGCGGUCCCGCAAGUCCGCUGUGAAAGCCCCGGGCUUAACCUGGGAAUGGCAGUGGAAACUAGGGGACUUGAAUCUGGCAGAGGGGGUGGAAUGCCACGUGUAGCAGUGAAAUGCGUAGAUAUGUGGCGGAACACCGAUGGCGAAGGCAGCCCCCUGGGCUGAGAUUGACGCUCAGGCACGAAAGCGUGGGGAGCAAACAGGAUUAGAUACCCUGGUAGUCCACGCCCUAAACGAUGAUCACUAGGUGUUGGGGAAGCGAUUUCUCAGUACCGCAGCUAACGCGUGAAGUGAUCCGCCUGGGGAGUACGGUCGCAAGAUUAAA
Molecule: ribosomal RNA, 329 nt
Filed under: uncultured bacterium
Lineage: Bacteria
Description: bacterial SSU rRNA
Rfam family: Bacterial small subunit ribosomal RNA
Source: RNAcentral